ACCGUGUACGUACAAGCAGUGGGAGCACCUUCGUGGUGUGACUGCGUACCUUUUGUAUAAUGGGUCAGCGACUUAUAUUCUGUAGCAAGGUUAACCGUAUAGGGGAGCCGAAGGGAAACCGAGUCUUAACUGGGCGUUAAGUUGCAGGGUAUAGACCCGAAACCCGGUGAUCUAGCCAUGGGCAGGUUGAAGGUUGGGUAACACUAACUGGAGGACCGAACCGACUAAUGUUGAAAAAUUAGCGGAUGACUUGUGGCUGGGGGUGAAAGGCCAAUCAAACCGGGAGAUAGCUGGUUCUCCCCGAAAGCUAUUUAGGUAGCGCCUCGUGAACUCAUCUUCGGGGGUAGAGCACUGUUUCGGCUAGGGGGCCAUCCCGGCUUACCAACCCGAUGCAAACUACGAAUACCGAAGAAUGUUAUCACGGGAGACACACGGCGGGUGCUAACGUCCGUCGUGAAGAGGGAAACAACCCAGACCGCCAGCUAAGGUCCCAAAGUCAUGGUUAAGUGGGAAACGAUGUGGGAAGGCACAGACAGCCAGGAUGUUGGCUUAGAAGCAGCCAUCAUUUAAAGAAAGCGUAAUAGCUCACUGGUCGAGUCGGCCUGCGCGGAAGAUGUAACGGGGCUAAACCAUGCACCGAAGCUGCGGCAGCGACACUAUGUGUUGUUGGGUAGGGGAGCG
This 681-nucleotide ribosomal RNA is filed under the name Enterobacter roggenkampii. Its description in RNAcentral is "partial 23S ribosomal RNA". It matches the Rfam family "Bacterial large subunit ribosomal RNA", at positions 555 to 1238 of the family's 2925-position model. Lineage: Bacteria; Pseudomonadati; Pseudomonadota; Gammaproteobacteria; Enterobacterales; Enterobacteriaceae. The record is from RNAcentral.